Molecule: ribosomal RNA, 468 nt
Filed under: uncultured bacterium
Lineage: Bacteria
Description: partial 16S ribosomal RNA
Rfam family: Bacterial small subunit ribosomal RNA
Source: RNAcentral
GACGAACGCUGGCGGCGUGCUUAACACAUGCAAGUCGAACGGAAAGGCCCUGCUUUUGUGGGGUGCUCGAGUGGCGAACGGGUGAGUAACACGUGAGUAACCUGCCCUUGACUUUGGGAUAACUUCAGGAAACUGGGGCUAAUACCGGAUAGGAGCUCCUGCUGCAUGGUGGGGGUUGGAAAGUUUCGGCGGUUGGGGAUGGACUCGCGGCUUAUCAGCUUGUUGGUGGGGUAGUGGCUUACCAGGGCUUUGACGGGUAGCCGGCCUGAGAGGGUGACCGGCCACAUUGGGACUGAGAUACGGCCCAGACUCCUACGGGAGGCAGCAGUGGGGAAUAUUGCACAAUGGGCGGAAGCCUGAUGCAGCAACGCCGCGUGCGGGAUGACGGCCUUCGGGUUGUAAACCGCUUUCGCCUGUGACGAAGCGUGAGCGACGGUAAUGGGUAAAGAAGCACCGGCUAACUACGUG